GACGAACGCUGGCGGCGUGCCUAAUACAUGCAAGUCGAGCGAAUCAAUAGGAGCUUGCUCCUGUUGGUUAGCGGCGGACGGGUGAGUAACACGUGGGCAACCUGCCUGUAAGACUGGGAUAACUUCGGGAAACCGGAGCUAAUACCGGAUAAUCCUUUUCCACUCAUGUGGGAAAGCUGAAAGUCGGUUUCGGCUGACACUUACAGAUGGGCCCGCGGCGCAUUAGCUAGUUGGUGAGGUAACGGCUCACCAAGGCGACGAUGCGUAGCCGACCUGAGAGGGUGAUCGGCCACACUGGGACUGAGACACGGCCCAGACUCCUACGGGAGGCAGCAGUAGGGAAUCUUCCGCAAUGGACGAAAGUCUGACGGAGCAACGCCGCGUGAGCGAUGAAGGCCUUCGGGUCGUAAAGCUCUGUUGUUAGGGAAGAAUAAGUAUCGGAGUAACUGCCGGUACCUUGACGGUACCUAACCAGAAAGCCACGGCUAACUACGUGCCAGCCGCCGCGGUAA
This 512-nucleotide ribosomal RNA is filed under the name uncultured bacterium. RNAcentral's name for it is "partial 16S ribosomal RNA". It matches the Rfam family "Bacterial small subunit ribosomal RNA", at positions 28 to 523 of the family's 1533-position model. The record is from RNAcentral.